ACUUUGUGUGAGAUAGACUGGCCAGCAUUAGAGGUGGGUUGGCCAUCAGAAGGAAGCCUGGACAGGUCCCUUGUCGUGAAGGCACGGCACAGGGUAACCUGUUAGUCAGGGUACCCAGAUCAGUUCCCAUAUAUAGAUUCUUUGUUACAGCUAGUUUUGAACCCCUCACAGUGGUUAAGAGGGCAGGCAGCAGCAGUACUAGUAGCAAAGGGACAGUUAGUUAAGGAAGGUCUUCGCUCCACCUGCCGAGGGAAGUCAGCACCAAAAAGUCCUGUCCGACCCAACACCAGAAGAAUCAUGGCAGGAACUGGUACCAGCAAUACCCCCUCUUUAUCGGGAGGUAGAGCUCCCCACCCCUGAGCCCACAACACCUCCACCUCCACCAGAUGACCACACCCCUAGACCACCCAGAGUAGACAAGAGAGGAAGUGAAGCUGUGGGAGAAACUCCUCCCUUGGCAGCUCGCUUGCAACCCAAAACUGGAAUCCAAAUGCCCCUGAGAGAGCAGCGAUAUACUGGGGUAGAUGAGGAUGGACACAUGGUGUAAAGGCAUGCCUUUCAACCUUUCACCUCUGCUGACCUCCUCAAUUGGAAAAAAAAAUAAUACUCCAUCUUACACUGAAAAGCCUCAAGCUUUAAUUGACUUGCUCCAAACUAUUAUACAGACUCAUAAUCCUACUUGGACUGAUUGCCACCAGCUGCUCAUGUACCUCUUUAAUACAGAUGAAAGGCAAAGGAUGCUCCAGGCGGCAACUAAGUGACUAGAGGAGCAUGUCCCAGCCGAUUACCAAAACUCCCAAGAAUAAAAAAUAGAAAAAACUAGCUGGGCGAGGUGGGGGGCGCCUGUAGUCCCAGCUACUUCCGGAGGCUGAGGCAGGAGAAUGGCAUAAACCUGGGAGGCAGAGCUUGCAGUGAGCUGAGAUCCGGCCACUGCACUCCAGCCUGGGCGACAGAGCGAGACUCCAUCUCAAAAAAAAAAAAAAAAAAAAGAAUUCAACUGCCAGGAACAGACCCCCAAUGGGACCCGGAUGAGGGACCAGACAUGGAGAGGCUAAUAUGGUACCAUGAGGCAUUAAUAGAAGGUCUAAAGAAAGGGGCUCAAAAGGCUACAAAUGUAAAUAAGGUCUCUGAGGUCAUCCAAGGAAAAGAGGAGAGUCCAGCGCAAUUCUAUGAAAGACUGUGUGAGGCUUACAGUAUGUAAACUCCUUUUGAUCCAGAUAGCUGUGAAAAUCAGCGCAUGAUUAACAUGGCCUUAGUUAGUCAAAGCACAGAUGAUAUCAGGAGAAUAUUGCAGAAACAGGCUGGGUUUGCGGAUAUGAAUACCUCACAGUUACUGGAAAUAGCCAAUCAAGUGUUUGUGAAUAGAGAUGUAACAAGCCACAGAGAAAGCCAUAAGGAAGGUGAAUGCCAGGCUAGGUGAAACGCUGACUUACUGGCUGUGGCCAUUAAAGGGAAUUCCACUGAAAGGAAAGGGAAAGAGGGGUUCAGGGAAGAAUACCUAGUUUAAUCGCCCAUGCUUGCAACAUAACCAAUGCUCCUAUUGUAAGGAAAUAGGACAUUGGAAAGAUAAGUGUCCCCAACUGAAGGAAAAGUAAGGUAGUUUGGAACAAAAUACCUCAGAUAAAGGUGAGGGAGCUUUGUUAAAUCUGGCUGAAGGGCUACUGGACUGAAGGGGACCAGGCUCAAGUGCCCACAAGGAGCCCACGGUCAGGAUUACAAUUGGGGGCAAGGACAUUAAGUUUUUGGUCGAUACUGGUGCUGAACACUUCAGUAGUGACCACCCCGGUCACCCCCUUAUCCAAGAAACCCAUUGAUAUAAUUGGAGCAACAGGAGUUUCCACUAAGCAGGCUUUCUGUCUACCACGGGCCUGCUUGGUGGGGGGACAUGAGAUAGUUCACCAGUUCUUGUACAUGCCUGGUUGUUCCUUGCCCUUGCUAGGAAGAGACUUGCUUAGCAAGCUGAGAGCCACCAUCUCCUUUACAAAACAGGGCUCUUUACAGCUAAAGUUACCGGGAACAGAGUUAUCACGGCCCUUACGGUCCCCCAGGAAGAAAGAUGGAGACUUUUUCUAACCAAGCCAGGCCAAGAGAUAAAACCAGCUCUGGUUAAGUGAUGGCCCUGAGUAUGGGCAGGGGAUAACCCUCCGGGACUGGCGGUCAACCAAGCCCCCGUACUCAUGGAAGUUAAGGCUGGGGCCCAACCAAUUAGACAAAAGCAGUAUCCAGUUCCCAGAGAAGCUCUCGAAGGAAUCCAGGUUCAUCUCAGGUGCUUGAAAGCCUAUGGAAUUAUAGUUCCUUGCCAGUCUCCAUGGAACACCCCCCUCCUGCCUGUCCCUAAGCCAGGGAACAAGGACCACCGGCCAGUACAGGACUUGCGCUUGGUCAACCAAGCUACAGGGACUCUGCACCCAACAGUUCCUAACCCUUACACAUUGUUAGGGCUGCUGCCAGCUGAGAACAGCUGGUUUACCUGUCUGGAGUUAAAAGAUGCCUUCUUUAGCAUCAGAAUAGCUCCUGAGAGCCAGAAGUUAUUUGCCUUUCAGUGGGAAGAUCUGGAGUCAGGUGUCACUACUCAGUACACUUGGACCCGGCUUCCCAAAGGGUUCAAGAACUCCCCUACUAUCUUUGGGGAGGCCCUGGCUUGAGACCUGCAAAAGUUUCCUGCUAAAGACCUACGCUGCGUCUUGCUCCUGUACGUGGAUGACCUUCUGCUGGGACACUCCAUGGCAGUUGGGUGCGCAAAAGGGACUGAUGCCCUGCUUUGGCACCUGGAGGACUGUGGGUAUAAGAUGUCCAAGAAGAAAGCUCAGAUCUGCAGACAGCAGGUACGCUACCUGGGAUUCACUAUUCAGAAAGGGGAGUGCAGCCUGGGGUCAGAAAGAAAGCAGGUCAUCUGCAGCCUACCAGAACCUAAAACCAGAAGGCAAGUAAGGGAAUUCCUAGGAGCUGUGGGGUUUUGCAGAUUAUGCAUUCCAAACUUUGCAGUACUAGCCAAACCUUUGUACGGGGUUACAAAGUGGGGUGACUGGGAGCCUUUUGAAUGGGGGUCUCUACAACAGCAAGCCUUUUGUAAGUUAAAGGAAAAAGUUUUGUUGGCCUCAGCCCUAGGACUACCCAAUUUGACAAAGCCCUUUACACUCUAUGUGUCAGAAAGAGAAAAAAUGGCAGUUGGAGUUUUAACCCAGACUGUGGGGCCCUGGCCAAGGCCAGUGGCCUAUCUCUCAAAACAACUAGAUGGAGUUUCCAAAGGCUGGCCACCAUGUCUAAGGGCCCUGGCAGCAACAGCCCUGUUAGCACAAGAAGCAGAUAAACUAACCCUUGGGCAAAACUUGAAUAUAAAGGCUCCCCAUACUGUGGUAACUUUGAUGAAUACCAAAGGGCAUCAUUGGCUAACAAAUGCUAGAUUAACCAAGUACCAAAGCUUGCUAUGUGAAAAUUCCCACAUAACUGUUGAGGUCUGUAACACCCUAAACCCCGCCACCCUGCUCCCAGUAUCAGAGAGCCCAGUCGAGCAUAACUGUGUUGAGGUAUUGGACUCAAUCUAUUCUAGCAGACCUGACCUUCAGGACCAGUCAUGAACAUCAGUAGACUGGGAGUUAUACAUGGAUGAGAGCAGCUUCAUUAACCCACAAGAAGAAAGAUGGGCAGGAUAUGAGGUGGUAACUUUGGAUACUGUCAUUGAAGCCAAACUAUUGCCACUGGGCAUUUCAGCCCAGAAGGCUGAUCUCAUUGCUUUAACUCGGGCUCUAGAACUCAGUGAAGGUAAGACGGUAAACAUCUACACUGACUCUCGAUAUGCCUUUCUAACCCUCCAAGUGCAUGGAGCAUUAUAUAAGGAAAAGGGUCUGUUAAACUCUGGGGGAAAGGACAUAAAACAUCAACAAGAAAUUCUACGAUUAUUAGAGGCAGUGUGGAAACCUCAGGGGAUGGCAGUCAUGCACUGCAGGGGACACCAGCGAGCCUCCAUCUCAGUGGACUUAGGAGACUCUCGAGCUGAUUCAGAAGCUCAAAAAGCAGCAUCUACCCCUUACCGGGCAUCAGUAGUAGCCCCCUUACUCCCUCAAACACCUGACCUGGUACCUACCUAUUCUAAGGAAGGAAAAGACUUCUUCCAAGCAGAAGGGGGGCAAGUAAUAAAAGGAGGAUGGAUCAGACUGCCAGAUGGGAGGAUAGCUGUGCCAUAGUUGCUGGGAGCCACAAUAGUAUUGGCUAUGCACAAAACCACUCACCUAGGUCAAGAGUCACUUGAAAAAUUGUUAGGUCGGUACUUCUACAUCUCACACUUGCCAGCCCUUGCCAAAGCAGUAGCAUAACGGUGCGUUACUUGCCGACAGUACAAUGCGAGGCAAGGCCCUAGUGUUCCACCCAGCAUACAAGCUUAUAGAGCAGCUCCUUUUGAAGAUCUUCAGGUGGAUUUCACAGAAAUGCCAAAAUGUGGAGGUAACAAGUAUUUGCUGGUUCUUGUGUGUACUUACUCUGGGUGGGUGGAGGCUUAUCCAACACGAACUGAAAAGGCCUAUGAGGUAACCCGUGUGCUUCUCUGAGAUCUUAUUCCUAGGUUUGCACUGCCCUUACGAAUCAGCUCAGAUAACGGGCCGGCAUUUGUGACUGAGUUGGUACAGAAGACAGCAAAAGCAUUAGGAAUCACCUUGGAAGCUACAUGCCGCCUACCGACCUCAAAGUUCAGGAAAGGUGGAGCAAAUGAAUCGAACUGUCAAAAAUAGUUUAGGGAAAAUAUGUCAGGAAACAGGAUUAAAGUGGAUAAAGGCCCUUCUUAUAGUAUUGUUUAAAAUUAGGUGCACUCCUUCUAAGAAAACAGGAUACUCCCCUUAUGAAAUACUGUAUCAUAGGCCUCCUCCUAUACUACAGGGGCUUCCAGGCACUCCCCGAGAGUUAGGUGAAGUUGAAUUACAGCGAUAGCUACAGGCUUUAGGAAAAAUUGCACAAACAAUCUCAACUUGGGUAAAUGAGAGGUGUCCCAUCAGCUUAUUCUCCCCAGUUCACCCUUUCUCUCCAGGUGAUCGCGUGUGGAUCAAGGACUGGAACGUAGCCCCUUUGCAGCCACAGUGGAAAGGACCUUAGAUCAUCAUCCUGACCACCCCCAUGGCUGUAAAGGUAGAAGGAAUCCCAACCUGGAUCCACCACAGCCGUGUGAAACCUGCAGCCGAUGAAACCUGGGAGGCAAAACUGAGCCCGGACAACCCCUGCAAAGUGACUCUGAGAAGGACGACAAGCCCUGCUCCAGUCACACCCAGAAGCUGACUGGUCUAUGCACGGCCGAAACAUGAGGAGAAUCAUCGUGGAACUCAUUUUCCUUAUAAUUUGGACUUGUAUAGUGAAAACUUCCACUGAUUUUCCCUGCGUGGAAGACUGCUCUCAGUGUAUACAUGAGGUUACCGAGUGUCUGAGGAGUUUUGUCUGCGGCUCAUCCUGCUACAAUACCAGCGCCUGUUCCGGUGGAGGUGGUGGAGGGUGAAAUGGACUCCAUGAAGAUCGUUGGCUUUGAUCUUCAGCUUCUCCAGUGGGGGUGUGUGUUCCAGAGAGAAGAGUCUCCUUUUCCCACUUCUGCAGUUGGGGCAGAAUAUUUGGAGUGUUUCCUGGGUCCUGCAGGAGCAGUCCACUUCCUUCAGAUGGUCUGUGGGUCCUCUCAGGAUUCAUCGUGUAAUAUUUUGAAACACUACAUAAUUAUUUCAAGAUUCUAACAUAUGCAAUCUAAUCCUUAUGA
Molecule: long non-coding RNA, 5725 nt
Organism: Rhinopithecus roxellana (golden snub-nosed monkey)
Lineage: Eukaryota; Metazoa; Chordata; Mammalia; Primates; Cercopithecidae
Exons: 3
Source: RefSeq, a predicted model, not a curated record